RNAcentral lists this ribosomal RNA (429 nucleotides) under Actinomycetes bacterium. RNAcentral's name for it is "Actinobacteria bacterium partial 16S ribosomal RNA". It matches the Rfam family "Bacterial small subunit ribosomal RNA", at positions 355 to 776 of the family's 1533-position model. Lineage: Bacteria; Bacillati; Actinomycetota; Actinomycetes. The record is from RNAcentral.
UAGGGAAUCUUCCGCAAUGGGCGAAAGCCUGACGGAGCAACGCCGCGUGAGUGAAGAAGGUCUUCGGUUCGUAAAACUCUGUUAUUAGGGAAGAACAAAUGUGUAAGUAACUAUGCACGUCUUGACGGUACCUAAUCAGAAAGCCACGGCUAACUACGUGCCAGCAGCCGCGGUAAUACGUAGGUGGCAAGCGUUAUCCGGAAUUAUUGGGCGUAAAGCGCGCGUAGGCGGUUUUUUAAGUCUGAUGUGAAAGCCCACGGCUCAACCGUGGAGGGUCAUUGGAAACUGGAGAACUUGAAUGCAGAAGAGGAAAGUGGAAUUCCAGGUGUAGCGGUGAAAUGCGCAGAGAUAUGGAGGAACACCAGUGGCGAAGGCGACUUUCUGGUCUGUAACUGACGCUAAUGUGCGAAAGCGUGGGGAUCAAACAGG